GGCAACUUAGCUCAGUUGGGCGCCAGAGUGAAGUUCUGGGUCGUCGGUGGUUCAAUUCCAUCAGUUGCCA
RNAcentral lists this transfer RNA (70 nucleotides) under Lactobacillus johnsonii 16. Its description in RNAcentral is "tRNA-Phe". It matches the Rfam family "tRNA". From Rfam's summary of the family: Transfer RNA (tRNA) molecules are approximately 80 nucleotides in length. The record is from RNAcentral. Lineage: Bacteria; Bacillati; Bacillota; Bacilli; Lactobacillales; Lactobacillaceae.